This is a long non-coding RNA of Arabidopsis thaliana (thale cress), 332 nucleotides long. RefSeq annotates it as other RNA. Lineage: Eukaryota; Viridiplantae; Streptophyta; Magnoliopsida; Brassicales; Brassicaceae. The record is from RefSeq. The transcript has a single exon.
AGAAGGAGGACAUCGAACAUCGAAAUGCGAGAAAGCAUCGUUGUAAGCUUGACGGUGUAGAUUCUCGGAUUCGAGAAUCACGCCGUCGCAAUCGAAAAUCAGAGCUUCUAGAGAACGUAAAGGCAAUGCCGAGACAGGAGAAGAAACUCUAGAUUUCGAAUAAACGCUUCUUGAUUUGAAACGCAGCGUUUGGAAACGAGGAAAGCCGAUGAGCGACGAGGAAGAAGUAACGGAGGAGGAACCAGCGGUGGAUGAUGGAGAGAAGAGAAUCGCAGAGUGGUUGCAAGAAACCGCCAUAUCGAUGAAUCUCUGUCUCUCUCUGGGUGUGUGUG